Molecule: long non-coding RNA, 2218 nt
Organism: Triticum aestivum (bread wheat)
Lineage: Eukaryota; Viridiplantae; Streptophyta; Magnoliopsida; Poales; Poaceae
Exons: 4
Source: RefSeq, a predicted model, not a curated record
UCCCCCUCUCGUCCCACAGCCGCCACCCCCAACCCUCUCGAUCCCCAACCACCCAGCCGGCACCGGCGCCGUCCUCCGUCCUUCGUCCUCUCCCCCAACCCCGGCCGCCGGCAACCCCUCCCCUCCCCUUCUCUCCCAUGGCCGCGGUCGGAUCCGCGCUCCCUCCUCGCUCAUGACCUAGACCUAGCCGCAUGGCACGGCCAUGGGCAUGGCGGCGGCCAGAUCCACCCCCUCCCUCCCAUCAUGAUCCGCUGUCACCCCCACCAUCGACGACCCGCGACAGCGGUAGUGGGCUCGCGAGCCAGAUCAUAAGGACGUCCCCUUCCUCCCGAUCUAAUCGUGCUCCUCUCGAGUGUAUUUGGUUUUGAUCGGCCGGCGACCCCAUGGCGUCCAUCGUGGUGAUCGGCCUGGUGCUGCUCCUCGACAUCCUCGCCUUCGUCCUCGCCAUCGGCACCGAGCGCCGCCGGAGCACGGCGCAACUCGGCGAGGCCGAGCCUGGUGGCAGGCGGUACUGCGUGUACGACAUGGAUGCGUCCACCUGGUAUGGCGUCAGCGCGCUCGCCCUGCUGCUGGUCGGGUAGACCGUCGCCAUGGUGGCGAGCCGGUGCUUCUACUGCGGCCGCGCGCUCUCCCUCGACCGCUGGCGCUUCUUCUCUGGCCUCUUCUUCGUCCCCUGCUGGUCAUUGUUGUGAAGGCCGUCACGGGAAGGCGUGGGGGAUUUGGCACAAGGGCGGUGAUCGAGUCUAUGCUCUCUCCUCCAUGGAAAGACCUAAAUUCAUCUUGAGAGAGAGCACACGAAUGGUUACAUAGUGUGUUUAGGUUGUGGAACUUAUAAUUAGAAGGUUUAGAAAAUGUUAGACGAGCUAACUGUUCACAACCUGAAGUAACUUUAACUUGGUACAAAAUUGGUCUGAUAUUAGUUUCAUAUCACAAAAGUAGGGAGGUUCUUGCUGCUUAUUAGUAUCACCUUUGGAUUAUUAUUGUGUUCGGUUCACCACUAUACUGAUUAUCUUGGCAAGCAUUUGUUUAAUAACUAGAAUACAUUGUCUGCUAUACCUUACCUUACAUGUACAAUGCACAAGGUUAGUUUGCGUACUGUUACAAAUGUCUGUGAGGGUCCUUUGUGCUACUACUAUAACUUCAUUCAUGAAUUCUUCACAUAGAUUUUUCAUCCUGCUAUAAAAUUGCUUGUGUCUGAAUCUGUUUGCCGUUGCUAGUCAGAAGUCGAUUAUUGCUCGUGUGUUCAGGAUUCUAUUUCUGUCAUCUAAAAUGGGAGUGUGACACAUACAGUUUCUGAAUGCUUGUGAUUGGAAUAUUGGAUAUCUGCUGGUUAUAUGUCCUUAUCCAUCAUUGUCUGGUUGUUCUUGCAAGCAUUAUUAGUUAGAUUGUUUAGGUGCCAAAUUCUGCUUCUGGAUUAGUCUAUUGUUCUCCUGAGACCCUCCUUUUUCCUAAAUUGUCUGCUAUUUAGAUGGGCUGCUAUCAUUAUUAUCUUUUAAUGGAUGCUAUCUAGAUUGACAGUUUGUACCUGGGCCCUUCGCGGUGGGAUUUGGACCCUGUGUGUGGGUUAUUGUUAUUGAACUUUGGGCCUGCUCAUGGACUUUUUGGACCUUCAUUUUUGUUGGUGGUUUUGAAUUUGUGUACCUACAGUUCUACAAAAUCGAUGUGACUGAUUGUUUUGUUACUUGGACAACCAGCUUUGCUGGUGUUUUUCGCAGAGCUUUUCUUCUAGUUUGUUGCUGCUCAAUGCUCAGCUUCGUUUCUCAUCCCUGUUAUUUAUGUUGGCUGACAUAACUUGCAUGUUGCUCUUGUGCGACCAGCAUCCUCGUGACAGGGUUUGUCGGAACCACCAUCACCUUAUGGUGCUUCUCUGGCGCCGCCAUCAUUGCCAAGCGCAGGGAGUACCUGUACCUCCGUGGCCUGCCCUCUUCUGGCCUGUCGAUCCUUCGACAUGAAACUGUAUACUAUCUCAAGAACGCAGGUGACAAGUCAGAGGACAAGAAGAAGAGGAAGAGGAGGUCCUGAACAUUUCUCCCGCACAUUGUAGAUACCACCACCGCCGCCUUGUAGGUAUUAAGCUGGCACCGUUCCACCCUUGUGUAUUUGUUUUUGAUUGUAUGUGCACUUGUUGGAUGUGCAGACGUGUAUUUGCUCUUGUGAGUAUUUGACUGGAUGAUUUCUGGAUUUAAUCAGUUAAUUGAGAGAUUUAUUGAUUUUUUUC